Molecule: long non-coding RNA, 376 nt
Organism: Neopsephotus bourkii (Bourke's parrot)
Lineage: Eukaryota; Metazoa; Chordata; Aves; Psittaciformes; Psittacidae
Exons: 3
Source: RefSeq, a predicted model, not a curated record
GGGUUGGAAGUCAAAGCUUCAGAAGAGGUCAUAGCUAUUGCAUGCUGUCUUACUGCACAUGCUAAUCAUUGGAGUGUGGGAGGAAGGACAAAAUGACAAACAAACUUCAGUGUUCUCUUUCUAAUCAACCAUGAAUGGAGAUGAUAAUUCUUGGGAAAUGCGAGAUCAGAUCAAAGUUCUUUCUCUGCAAAGCACAUUUAAGUCCAUUUUUCUGGAUCCCAGGGUACUAGAAGGCAGCUUUAGGGUCUCCUCAGAGCCUUCUCUUCUCUAGAAUGAGAAACCCCAGCCAUCUCAUCCUGUCUUCACAGGACAGAUGUUCCAGCCCGCUGAUCAUCUUCAUUGCCCUCCUCUGGACUUGCUUGAACAGGUCGACAUU